AAUGCUUUGAUUUUCGUUUUAUAUUUAGAAUAACAAGAAAGUAAAAUCAGUAAGAGGCAGAAACGAAAAAAGGUCCGUUUUUUCAUUUUCUGAGACCGGAAGUGGUCAUCAGCAAGUGUGGAGCCAAACAGAGUACGGUGCAUAGACUGUACGUACAUUUUUUUUCGUGAGUUUUCAUGGUCAAAAUGAGAGAUCAGGUGGCCGAUCUUAAAAUAAAUCAAUAUUGAUUUUUUUUAUAGAGCGUUAAAGUUUUGCGAAGCCAGGGGGCGGGACUACUUAAUUGACAGUCCGGUCUGGAAUGAUUGACAGGUCCUAUGGAGGAGGCAGCAGAGACUCUGUUCUCCUCGUUUGGAUUAAUUCUGAUAUAAUAACUGUUGGUUUAUUUAUCGGUGGAGCAGCAGAACAUUUUCCACAGACAGUUUUCCUGCCCGUUGGCUUGUUUUAACCAGUUUUCUACCUUCGGCUGAUUCUACCAGCAGACACUGAAAGGACUCUAAUAGUUCGAGUGAAAGCAGCAGUUCCUCCUUAAGGUCAGAGAUUGCAGCAUCCGAGGGCCUCUUCAAAAGAAGACGUAGUCGAUGAAGGCGUUCUGGAGCAGGACCAGAAAGACCACAACCAAGCAGCCUUGAGAUCUUAGGCAGCAUCUCCCUCGGGUCCCUCUCUAUCUCCCCACACAUCCACCAACCACUGGAACACAUCUCCAAAGUUCUGCCGGGCCAGCUCAGCUUCCCCUCAGAAGAAGUUCCACCAGAUGAAGGAGCCUUUUGAGAGGCAGCUGACAUCGUGAUUGGACUGUACUUUGGUCUGUUCCAAUCCAGCUUCAGCUCCAGAGACGGCAGACGGGACGAGUCAAUGGAGGCCGGGUGGACGAAGGCAUGCAGCUGAGUACAAUCCAGAAAACAACAGAGGAGGAGUGCAGUGGCCCAGGGCCAGAACAAACAGAGUAGCAUCGUAUGUCUCUGAGAAAAUAUCAUAGUAUAGCCUUUGGUAUGAAAAAACGCCAUCAUAUACAUCGUAUAUUGUACAAAUAAGUCAAAGGAAAGAGACAUACAUUGUAGAAUUGUAGUAAUUGUGGGCUGACUGAUUUUCUGAUUAUCAGUAUUUUAUUUUUUACUGAUUUACGGUAAUAAAUACAUUUAAAAAUGGUGCUACUUUGGCUCUGAAUCUUUAUCUACCUGUGGUCGCUCUGUCUUCUGGAGUGAUUUGAUUGGUUAUACGUCACGAAUAAAACUCCUUUAACUUAACAUCUGUAAACAAAACAAAAACGUAUCAACAAAGUUUUCUAAUAAAGUUUGUGUUCUUGUAAGUUUAACUCCAAGAUUUUAAAUACUUUCAUUUACUGCAAAUGAAUAUCCAAAUGAAUAUACUCCAAAUGUCUCACUAAUAAUCAUUAUCAGCCUUAAAAACCCACAAAACACCCCUCUAUACUCGACCACACUUAGUACAGUCCGGUUCCCCCUUCUAUAAAUCUGCAUGGAAUCGUCCACUUCCUGUUUGUCAAAGUGGCCUUCUACCUGGACAGGUUUUGUUGGAGCUCAUGCAGCAAACAUUUUGGGUAACUGCACUUUAAUA
Long non-coding RNA from Amphiprion ocellaris (clown anemonefish), 1572 nucleotides. RefSeq lists it as uncharacterized. The record is from RefSeq and is a predicted model, not a curated record. The transcript is spliced from 3 exons. NCBI's taxonomy places the organism in Eukaryota, Metazoa, Chordata, Actinopteri, Pomacentridae.